UAAAAAGCCUUUUUAAAGGCUACCCAUCAAUGUGAAACUAAUUCAC
Astyanax mexicanus (Mexican tetra) is the source of this 46-nucleotide non-coding RNA. NCBI's taxonomy places the organism in Eukaryota, Metazoa, Chordata, Actinopteri, Characiformes, Acestrorhamphidae. The record is from Rfam.